GACGAACGCUGGCGGCGUGCUUAACACAUGCAAGUCGAACGGAAAGGCCUUUUCGGAGGUACUCGAGUGGCGAACGGGUGAGUAACACGUGGGUGAUCUGCCCUGCACUCUGGGAUAAGCCUGGGAAACUGGGUCUAAUACCGGAUAGGACCGCACUUUAGUGUGUGUGGUGGAAAGUUUUUUCGGUGUAGGAUGAGCCCGCGGCCUAUCAGCUUGUUGGUGGGGUAAUGGCCUACCAAGGCGGCGACGGGUAGCCGGACUGAGAGGUUGGUCGGCCACAUUGGGACUGAGAUACGGCCCAGACUCCUACGGGAGGCAGCAGUGGGGAAUAUUGCACAAUGGGCGCAAGCCUGAUGCAGCGACGCCGCGUGGGGGAUGACGGCCUUCGGGUUGUAAACUCCUUUCGCCAGGGACGAAGCGUUUUGUGACGGUACCUGGAGAAGAAGCACCGGCUAACUACAUG
Molecule: ribosomal RNA, 463 nt
Filed under: uncultured bacterium
Lineage: Bacteria
Description: partial 16S ribosomal RNA
Rfam family: Bacterial small subunit ribosomal RNA
Source: RNAcentral